AUCACCUGGGAUCUUGUUAAAAUGCAGGUUUUGAUUCAGUAGGUCUGGGGCGGGGCCUGAGAGCCUGCAUUUCUAACAAGCUCCCCCGUGAUGCUGA
This 97-nucleotide microRNA precursor is filed under the name Ursus americanus (American black bear). RNAcentral describes it as "mir-544 microRNA precursor family". It matches the Rfam family "mir-544 microRNA precursor family". The record is from Rfam by way of RNAcentral. RNAcentral also lists the same sequence under 2 other names. Lineage: Eukaryota; Metazoa; Chordata; Mammalia; Carnivora; Ursidae.